Molecule: transfer RNA, 68 nt
Filed under: Polygyra cereolus
Lineage: Eukaryota; Metazoa; Mollusca; Gastropoda; Stylommatophora; Polygyridae
Description: tRNA-Ser
Source: RNAcentral
AAAUACAAACUGGAAAUGGUACAUUUAAUAAAGGUUUUGAAAACCUUUUAGGAUAUAAAUCAUGUACU